GAUGAACGCUAGCGGCAGGCCUAAUACAUGCAAGCUGAACGGUAAAUAUUAUAGCAAUAUAAUAUGAGAGUAGCGUAAGGGUGCGUAACACGUAUGCAAUCUGCCCUGUACAGGAGGAUAGCUCGGCGAAAGCCGGAUUAAUACUCCGUAAUAUUAUGGUGUGGCAUCACAUUAUAAUUAAAGUCGCAAGAUGGUACAGGAUGAUCAUGCGUCUGAUUAGCUAGUUGGUAGUGUAACGGACUACCAAGGCGAUGAUCAGUAGGGGAACUGAGAGGUUGAUCCCCCACACUGGCACUGAGAUACGGGCCAGACUCCUACGGGAGGCAGCAGUAGGGAAUAUUGGUCAAUGGAUGCAAGUCUGACCCAGCCAUGCCGCGCGCAGGAGGAAGGCCUUCUGGGUUGUAAACUGCUUUUGCCGGGGGAUAACAUUCCCAUGCGUGGGACAUUGACCGUACCCGGUGAAUAAGCCACGGCUAUCUACGUGCCAGCAGCCGCGGUAAUACGUAGGUGGCAAGCGUUGUCCGGAUUUAUUGGGUUUAAAGGGUGCGUAGGCGGCCUAUUAAGUCAGUGCUGAAAUAUCCCGGCUUAACCGGGAGGGUGGCAUUGAUACUGAUGGGCUU
RNAcentral lists this ribosomal RNA (620 nucleotides) under uncultured Ohtaekwangia sp. RNAcentral's name for it is "bacterial SSU rRNA". It matches the Rfam family "Bacterial small subunit ribosomal RNA", at positions 28 to 643 of the family's 1533-position model. The record is from RNAcentral. Lineage: Bacteria; Pseudomonadati; Bacteroidota; Cytophagia; Cytophagales; Fulvivirgaceae.